Molecule: long non-coding RNA, 2029 nt
Organism: Pangasianodon hypophthalmus (striped catfish)
Lineage: Eukaryota; Metazoa; Chordata; Actinopteri; Siluriformes; Pangasiidae
Exons: 3
Source: RefSeq, a predicted model, not a curated record
UGGCUCUCAGUAGGUGAUGUGGGGCAUCCCCUUAGCUUCCAUUUCAUUUUAAAAGCCUUAGACGUUCAGAACAGCUCAUGCAAAUUCAACAUCAAGCAUGAAGCAUAGGAUGGCACCACGUGAGAUUUUGGGCCUGCCAUACACUCCUGCACAUAGCGUGCAUGUCUACAUUGUUUCCUCAAAAUACUAUUUUUUCUAAUCUAAUUUUGUCUGCACACAAAGCACACAAAGAUUAUUAUGCUCAACUUGCUGUUCCACAUGGACGUGUGUCUGUGCUGUCAUUUUGAGUGUUAAAGGCUUUCUUGACCCAUGGCCAUGCUUAAAAAGAAGCUAUUUCUCAGUCCACUUCUGAAUACUUAUAUAAGGCCCCAUGUUACCAUACAGAAAGACACACACACAAUAGGAAACUCCAAUGUGACUAUGGCCUCCACCCUCUCUCUCUCACACACAUAUUCUCACACACACACACACGUAUACACGUGCACACACAUAUAUACACAUACACACAGGGAACCAUGCUAACGGUUGCAAGAACACUUGGUCCAAUUUGCCUCUUUUGUUGUUUUAUUAGCGUUACCACUAACCAAGCAGGAUAAAAAUUUCCUUUAGCUCAUAUUGUAUUUAGACCACACUCGUAAAAAAAAAAAAACAAGAAAAAAAAAAAAAACAAAUAGGCUACAUACUAGAUUAUAUUCACAAGCAUGCACAAGCACAUCUUAAUGCUAAUUUUGAUAUAGAAAUGUCCUUCCAUAUGAAUUAGAGACGCAGACCUAGGGGAGUCAAAAUGGCGGCGAAAGAGCGACGAUACCUUUGACCUAAUUAGCAUUCCUCGUCUUCUACAUAUGAGCUUCUUGUGUCUUUUUUAUUUGGACAUUCUAUGCUUAUUUCAAAUAAUAGGGACAAAAUACAUUUCAUCUGAAUGUUCACACUAUGUGUAUUUAGAAGGAAUCCAUAAAACACGGAACCAAUAUAUAUAUAUAGAUUUUUUUUUGUUAUAAAUAGGUAUACAUGUACAGGAUCUCUCUGAUAGCGAGCACAGCAUAAUGCCUCUUCUGCUGUUACCACUAAUAAUAAUAUUCAGAAUAUUAUUCAUUUGACAUUACAUUUUUCGUAUUUAGCGUAUGUGUGUCAAUAAAAAUGGAUUUUUGAAUACAUUUCCUCGUUGUCCUCUAUAGCCAGGCAUGAGCCUCCACAUAGGUUUCGCCACCCAGAGCUGCACUGGGCGCCAUUUUCUUAUUUGCUGACGUUGGAUUGCUUAUUCUCAAUGAUGGCGACCACGUGCCAUUUCAAUCUGACUUGAAAUUCAAUUCAGAAUAUUAAAAGCAGGACAGCACGACGACAAAAGUGAGUUGAUGUGCAGUGAAUCUGCAAAAACAGUCAGUUCCACUGGUCUGGUCGAUUGCCAUGAAGCCCCGCCCCCGGGCAGUGACGUUGCUAAUCACACAGGCACGUGAAAAUCUACACUGCUUAAAGUAAUGAUGCGCCUGGGAGAGUGACGUCAUGACAGUGGACUACACAUUCAACCUUGUCAUCGAAGAGAACAAAUAUCAAUCAGUAAUGUCUUUUACUAGAUUGUUCAUGAUUAUUUUUGAAUUCUGUCAACCUGCUAGUUUUCCCUUGAUCUGUGUAUAUACAAAAUGAUGUAUACCUUUUUUACUUGUUCUAAGUUAGUGGUAUUUGAAUUAUUAUUCUUAUUUUUUUUAGAAUGUAGAUUAUGACAUUUAUAAAGCAUGGUGAUUGAAGAGGCACCACUGUGGUUUCUCUCAUCUGUGUUUGAUGACUACCCUUUUAAAUUGAAUCUUGCAAUAAACAGCACUAUCCUCACAGCUCUGCAUUAGGGGGCAGUUUCUGUCAGAGGGGUUGUUGCUGAUGUCAAAAAAUUAUAUCCAAGUCUAGACACUUUUACAAAGUGUAAUUUUACAUUUGAUUAUAUAAUCUAGAGAUUUUCAUAUGUUGAGAAUCUGCUGUUGUCUAAUUCAUAUUUAGGAAAAGCCAAAAUCCCUACAUGUGAAUUAAGAUCAAUUUUUGU